This is an RNA transcript of Trematomus bernacchii (emerald rockcod), 1416 nucleotides long. It is a transcript of the gene named major histocompatibility complex class I-related gene protein-like, with no coding region annotated. Lineage: Eukaryota; Metazoa; Chordata; Actinopteri; Perciformes; Nototheniidae. The transcript has 8 exons. The record is from RefSeq and is a predicted model, not a curated record.
GUGUUAACUCCUUCUGUGUGUCUCUCUCAUUGACAUCCCGCUCUGCAGAAAGGACGGCUGUGUUUCUGUGGAUAAAGAACCUUUCACACAGAAAGCCUCGUGAGAUCAAGAUGAAGAUGUUGCUGUUUCUGCUUCUCCUGGGAAUAGUAGGCCCACACUGCACAUCUGCACGGACUCACUCUCUGAAGUAUUUCUACACUGGGUCCUCUGGAGUCCCAAACUUCCCAGAGUUUGUCACCGUUGGAUUGGUUGAUGAAGUUCCGAUAUCUCACUACGACAGCAACACCAAGAGAGUCGAACCCAAACAGGACUGGAUGAACAAAAUCACAGCAGAGGAUCCUGAGUACUGGGAGAGGCAGACUGAGCUCCGUAUGGAUUCCCAGUUGGCCUUCAAAGUCAACAUUGAAACUGCAAAGCAGCGCUUCAACCUAACAGGAGGUGUCCACAUUCUCCAGAGGAUGUACGGCUGUGAUUGGGAUGAUCAGACUGGUGAGGUCAAAGGUUAUGAUCACUAUGGUUUUGAUGGAGAAGACUUCAUGAUACUGGACCUGGAGACAGACUCAUGGAUCACUCCAACACCAGAGGCUGUCCUCAGCAAACACAGGGGGGGAGAGAACAAACCUAAUAUGGACCAGUGGAAGUACCUCUCCCAGUGGUGUCCUGAGUAUCUGAAGAAGUAUGUGCACCUUGGGAGGAGCUUUCUGAUGAGAACAGAGAUCCCCUCAGUGUCUCUGCUCCAGAAGUCCCCCUCCUCUCCAGUCAGCUGCCACGCUUCAGGUUUCUACCCGGACAGAGCCGCCAUGUUCUGGACCAGAGACGGAGAGGAGCUUCACGACAACGUGGACCACGGAGAGAUCCUGCCCAACCACGACGGAUCCUUCCAGAUGAGCGUGGACCUGGACGUCUCCUCAUUCCCCGCUGAACACUGGGACAAGUACCGAUGUGUGUUCCAGCUCUCUGGGGUGAAGGAGGACCACGUCAUCGUACUGGACCCAGCUGUGAUCAGGACCAACAGAAGGAAUCCCCUCCUCCUCCUCCUCUUCAUCGGUGCUGCUCUCUUCAUCGCUCUCCUCAUCGCUGGGAUUGUAUUCCUGGUUUACAGGAAGAGGAACGCCAAUAGAAACAACUUCCGGCAGCUCUGAGACUGAACCAGCCGGCAGAGUGAGAGGAUGUGAGGUCCACCCACAAAUACAAAUAUUUGUCUCUUGAAUUGGUUUUAAAACAUAAUAGUGUUUGUGAUUUUGAUAAUGUUGCUAUUAUUUAGGGACAGGGAGGUUUUGUGUACAGAGCCAGCGGACUGUGACGUUCUACAUACUUUAGUUUGGGGCUAAGAGGUGAACGUGACAUGAAGUCGCUCUGCAUUGUUAACCCUUUCCUGUCCGUGUUUCACUUUCCAAUAAAAACCCAUCUCCCAAA